This 72-nucleotide transfer RNA is filed under the name Camelus bactrianus (Bactrian camel). It matches the Rfam family "tRNA". Rfam says of the family: Transfer RNA (tRNA) molecules are approximately 80 nucleotides in length. Their secondary structure includes four short double-helical elements and three loops (D, anti-codon, and T loops). RNAcentral also lists the same sequence under 1 other name. Lineage: Eukaryota; Metazoa; Chordata; Mammalia; Artiodactyla; Camelidae. The record is from Rfam by way of RNAcentral.
GAGGAUAUAGCCCAGUAGCAGAAUGUGUGCCUAGCAAGCACAAGGUCCUGGGUUCAGUCCCCAGUACCUCCA